CUCUUUUUCUCUUUCUUUUUCUAGCUUUUCUUCUUUCUCUCACUCUCUCCUCUUUCUUGCCUUCCCUGCUUUUCAUUAAUCUUCUCACUUAAUUAUCCACAAUAUAUAACAAAUAUAUUUUUAUUAUUUUUUUCAAAGAGUUUUAUCUUGCCUUCCUUAAAAAGGUGAGUGUGAGAAGAAAAAGAAGAAGAGGAGGACAGAAGAAGAAGGAGGAGAAGGAGGACGAUCAGGGGAAGAAGAGAAAGGAGAAUACAAAACAAUAAUCUGCUUUUCUUUCCCCUCUGUAGCCUGAUGCACUGAAUAAGAAAGAGGUUUAAAUGUGAGUAACUCCCAGUGUAGGAGCAAGAACAUCUGUUCCCAGCGUGGAGAGCAGGAGGACUGUGUAAGGCUGAGCCCUGGGCUUUGGGUGUUAUUUAUCUCAGUGUCAUCAGAGAGAAAGAAAAAGUCACAAAACAGUAAGUGUGAACGUUUUGCAGGCAAUGCAAAGGAAAUAGAAUAGAGAGUUCUUCAAAAGAAGAAGUAACAAAAGAUUCCUCUUCUAGAAAAGGACCUUAAGGAAAUAAUCUAAGAUAUAGACAUAAAAUUAUCCACAAGAAUUUUUGUCACAAUAUCAUUUAAAAUAAUGAAGAAUUGAAAUACCCUAAACAUUCAACAAUAAAUGAAUAGUUAAAUCAUUUCUGGGACACUCAGGCAACAGACUAUAAAGCAACCAAUAAAAAACAAUUAAUAGAGAAAUACUUAAUGGCAUGAGAAAUACUCACUAGAUAAUGUUAAAAUUUUUUGAAAUAAUCAAAAUAUCAAAUGACUUUUGGUAUUUAUUCAGUGUCAUUUAAUUGAGCUGUUGCCUGGACUAUAGCAAAUACUGGGCAUUCAGUGGUGGACAUCGUCCCUGCCUUUCUGCAGCUUAAAUUCAAAGAAGAAAUACAGAUUUUAAACAAUUAAUUAUACAAAUAAUGAUUACAUGCCAUUUAAUCCCUAUUUCAAUAAAGAAACAUGCAAAUCAGUGAGAUAGAUUCUGUUAUCAGGCCCAUUUUUAAAAUAAGGAAACGGAGGCUCAUUGCAAUUAAACAACGGCUAGUAGGUGGCGGAGCUGGAACUCAGACUCCAAAGCCCAAGCUCGAAAUAAGUCACAAUGAAGGGGACAGAGCUAUGAGAGGAGCCACCCAGGGCCCCACCAGGGAGAGGGUCUAGCCCAGGCCUGGGUAUAAGGAAAAACUUUCUGAAGAAGCAACCUCUACCUGAGACCUGAAGAAUGAACUGUAGUUAUUUGAGAAGGGCUUUCCAGACCAGGACCUGGGGCACAGUCUGAGAAAUGAAAUAUCAGUAGAAAUGGCAUGUGGGGAUGCCAGGGUAUUAGGGGCGGCAAAAAUAAAGUCAGAAUUGUAAACAGGGAACUGAUAGUAUAGGGCCUUGAAAGUUGCCAUAGUUCAACAUUAUUCUUGAAACUAUUGGAAAUCAGUGAAGCACUUUAAGCGGGAAAACGUCUGAGUUAGUUUUCCCUUUACAAAAUAUAUUUCUGUCAGCUUGGUGGAGAAUAAUUUGGUUGAGUCAAGAAUGAAGGCUGGGUGAAAACCAUCAGCAAACAAACCGAACCUUCGGGUCCACAGGGGAGUCUGAACCUUUGUGCCGAACAUGGACAUCCAGGCAGCUCAGAGCUAAGGACGGAGCAUUUCCAAUCCACCUGUAAAUUAGCUCUACCUCACACAGCUAGCAACGUUAAAGAUGCGCAUACCUUAUGGCCAAGCAGGCACACCUCUUUUUCUACCAGAAGGUUCUCACAGUAUUGUUUAUAAUGUCAGAAAACUUUACAAAUGUCCGCUAAUAAUAGCAUAGACAAACUAUGUAAUAUGAAUACCGUGGUACGAAAUAGAACAAUGAGAAUGAAUGAACGUUACAGCCAGUUUCAUCAGCACUGACAAUCAGAAACUAUAAUGUUGAUUUUUUUUUUUUUUUAAAUAGAAGUAACAGGGAAUUUACACAAUACUUCUCACCACUCCUUACUGGGACAUAUGUCACAUUAGAUGGCACCUUAGAAGAUGGAUGUUAUCAAGGUUUUUGGUUUCCACUGAGAGAUUCUGAGUAUACAAAUCAGUGCUUGACGUGUGGUUGAAAGUAUCCAAAAAAGUUGAACUUGUCAAAACAGAGAGUAGAAUGGUGGUUUCCCAGGGGCUGGGGAGACAGGGAAGUGGGUAGAUGUUGGUCAAAGGCUACAAAAUUUCGGUUAUAAGAUGAAAAAAAAGAAAAAGAAUGAAGGCUAGGAGGCCAAUUAAGAGGCUAUAGCAGUCAAUCACUAGAAAGAUGAUGGUGGCAAGAACCAGAACACAAGAAACAAAGGAGAGAGAAAAGAUGUCUGGUUCCAGAGGUAUUUUGGAAGUAAAUUUAACAGAGGUAGAGUUUAAUUGAGUAUGAAGAGGUGAGAGAAAGGCAGAAAUCGGGUGCUAGGAUGAUUCUCAAGUAUUAUGCAAAUUGAGGGUCCAGUCCCUGAGAGAGAGAACACGGGAGGGGGGAUGUUAUUUUGGGGAAGGAGAUAAUCAGUCCAGUUAGGACAAGCUGAGUUUAAAGCACUUGUGUGACAUGGAGAAAUGCCUAAUGAUAAGGUCAAGUCUGAAGCUCAGGAGAAGGAGCUGGAUCAGAGGUCUACAUAGCUGAUGAUUGAGCCUUGGGAAUGAGAUUCCCUUGGGAGAGGUAUAUAGCAAGACAACAAGGCCUAGAAUAGAACCUGAAGAACACCAACAUGUAAAGAUUGGGCCAAAGAAUAAGACUGAAAAGAAUAAAAAAGACUGGGGAAUGAGCAGCAGCCAGAAAGAUAGUAAGGAAAAUGCCUACAAAGGAAAAAUGUGGUAUCCUAGAAACCUGCAGAGAGAAUGAUUCUGGAAGGUGGAAGUGGUCAGCACACAAAGAAAUGUCAACUGGAUUUAGAAACAAGGAAGUUGUCAGUCAUCUUUGGGAAGCCAGCCUUUUGUUGCAAGAUGGGAGCAGAAGUCAGACUGUAGAGUAGCUGCUUGGCAGGUGAGUAGGAGAGAAAGAAGUAGAGAUUGCACAUGGAGACACAUUACAUGGCUCUAAAGGCAAGGAGGAAGGUGGAGUGGUACCUAGUGGAGAGCCCAGGCCAAACACUGAUUCUUUCCCACUUUAUAGUUAUCGUCAUUUGAAUAGAUGAACUAACCAAUUUCUCUUCGCACGCACUAGAACCGAUAAGUGAUGUUCCUACUAAUUGGUAACCACCAAACUUCUAAGUCACUUGAUUUCUCUAAGAAGAAAAUGCCAGAAAUAAAGAUUAUGAAAGACAUCACAACAUUUGAUUUGAACACCAAGGAGGCUACAAUUGACCUUUUUGUUUCCACAGCAGCAAUAAAAAUUAUUUUUUAUUAUAACAAAUAUUAAAUAUUAUUAUAAUAAUAUCAGCUAACAUUUACUGAUCACUCACGUGCCAUACAUUGUUUUAAAGACUUGACACAUAUAACUAAUAACUAAUCCUCACAACAA
This 3486-nucleotide long non-coding RNA is filed under the name Equus caballus (horse). RNAcentral's name for it is "lncRNA (ENSECAG00000053587.1)". Lineage: Eukaryota; Metazoa; Chordata; Mammalia; Perissodactyla; Equidae. The record is from RNAcentral.